CACAUCAAUGUUCAAACAAAUAUUUUUGUUUCAAUUGCAGACAUCGGGGUUAGCCAAGAGGUAAGCUUCAACAGCCUUGUAAACUCCAUCCAUUCUUUGAAUUUGUUCCUUAAUUUCAUCUUCAGUGAAGGUGGAAUCACCAAUGGUGAAGAACUUCAUUGAGCUCUUG
Long non-coding RNA from Hibiscus syriacus, 169 nucleotides. RefSeq lists it as uncharacterized. The transcript is spliced from 2 exons. The record is from RefSeq and is a predicted model, not a curated record. NCBI's taxonomy places the organism in Eukaryota, Viridiplantae, Streptophyta, Magnoliopsida, Malvales, Malvaceae.